This 680-nucleotide ribosomal RNA is filed under the name uncultured bacterium. Its description in RNAcentral is "bacterial SSU rRNA". It matches the Rfam family "Bacterial small subunit ribosomal RNA", at positions 140 to 807 of the family's 1533-position model. The record is from RNAcentral.
GGGAUAACACUUGGAAACAGGUGCUAAUACCGCAUAACCAUAGUUACCGCAUGGUAACUAUGUAAAAGGUGGCUAUGCUACCGCUUUUGGAUGGGCCCGCGGCGCAUUAGCUAGUUGGUGGGGUAAAGGCUUACCAAGGCAAUGAUGCGUAGCCGAACUGAGAGGUUGAUCGGCCACAUUGGGACUGAGACACGGCCCAAACUCCUACGGGAGGCAGCAGUAGGGAAUCUUCCACAAUGGGCGAAAGCCUGAUGGAGCAACGCCGCGUGGGUGAAGAAGGUCUUCGGAUCGUAAAACCCUGUUGUUAGAGAAGAAAGUGCGUGAGAGUAACUGUUCACGUUUCGACGGUAUCUAACCAGAAAGCCACGGCUAACUACGUGCCAGCAGCCGCGGUAAUACGUAGGUGGCAAGCGUUAUCCGGAUUUAUUGGGCGUAAAGGGAACGCAGGCGGUCUUUUAAGUCUGAUGUGAAAGCCUUCGGCUUAACCGGAGUAGUGCAUUGGAAACUGGGAGACUUGAGUGCAGAAGAGGAGAGUGGAACUCCAUGUGUAGCGGUGAAAUGCGUAGAUAUAUGGAAGAACACCAGUGGCGAAAGCGGCUCUCUGGUCUGUAACUGACGCUGAGGUUCGAAAGCGUGGGUAGCAAACAGGAUUAGAUACCCUGGUAGUCCACGCCGUAAAC